This 73-nucleotide transfer RNA is filed under the name Dictyocaulus viviparus (bovine lungworm). It matches the Rfam family "tRNA". From Rfam's summary of the family: Transfer RNA (tRNA) molecules are approximately 80 nucleotides in length. Their secondary structure includes four short double-helical elements and three loops (D, anti-codon, and T loops). Lineage: Eukaryota; Metazoa; Nematoda; Chromadorea; Rhabditida; Metastrongylidae. The record is from Rfam by way of RNAcentral.
GCCUCGUUAGCUCAGUUGGUAGAGCGUUAGACUUUUAAUCUAACGGUCCGGGGUUCGAGUCCCCUACGGGGCU